AGGCUUAACACAUGCAAGUCGAGCGCCCCGCAGGGGACCGGCAGACGGGUGAGUAACGCGUGGGAACGUACCCUUUACUACGGAAUAACGCAGGGAAACUUGUGCUAAUACCGUAUGUGCCCUUCGGGGGAUAGAUUUAUCGGUAAAGGAUCGGCCCGCGUUGGAUUAGCUAGUUGGUGGGGUAAAGGCCUACCAAGGCGACGAUCCAUAGCUGGUCUGAGAGGAUGAUCAGCCACAUUGGGACUGAGACACGGCCCAAACUCCUACGGGAGGCAGCAGUGGGGAAUAUUGGACAAUGGGCGCAAGCCUGAUCCAGCCAUGCCGCGUGAGUGAUGAAGGCCCUAGGGUUGUAAAGCUCUUUCACCGGAGAAGAUAAUGACGGUAUCCGGAGAAGAAGCCCCGGCUAACUUCGUGCCAGCAGCCGCGGUAAUACGAAGGGGGCUAGCGUUGUUCGGAAUUACUGGGCGUAAAGCGCACGUAGGCGGAUCGAUCAGUCAGGGGUGAAAUCCCAGGGCUCAACCCUGGAACUGCCUUUGAUACUGUCGAUCUGGAGUAUGGAAGAGGUGAGUGGAAUUCCGAGUGUAGAGGUGAAAUUCGUAGAUAUUCGGAGGAACACCAGUGGCGAAAGCGGCUCACUGGUCCAUUACUGACGCUGAUGUGCGAAAGCGUGGGGAGCAAACAGGAUUAGAUACCCUGGUAGUCCACGCCCGUAAACGAUGAAUGGUAACCG
Molecule: ribosomal RNA, 730 nt
Filed under: Rhizobium etli
Lineage: Bacteria; Pseudomonadati; Pseudomonadota; Alphaproteobacteria; Hyphomicrobiales; Rhizobiaceae
Description: bacterial SSU rRNA
Rfam family: Bacterial small subunit ribosomal RNA
Source: RNAcentral